Molecule: unclassified non-coding RNA, 20 nt
Filed under: Chlamydomonas reinhardtii
Lineage: Eukaryota; Viridiplantae; Chlorophyta; Chlorophyceae; Chlamydomonadales; Chlamydomonadaceae
Description: small RNA Cre_1842
Source: RNAcentral
GGCAUCGGCAGCGAGGGGCC